Long non-coding RNA from Corvus hawaiiensis (hawaiian crow), 588 nucleotides. RefSeq lists it as uncharacterized. The record is from RefSeq and is a predicted model, not a curated record. The transcript has 3 exons. NCBI's taxonomy places the organism in Eukaryota, Metazoa, Chordata, Aves, Passeriformes, Corvidae.
AGGAAGAAUGCUGAGCCGAAUUUUAUCACGUGCCAUGGUCUCAAGAAGCUGUGAGCAGAUAUUUCUACUGCAAGAUCCAGCAGCGCCGACAGGAAUCGGAACAAUCUUUGGGACCGGACCAAUGCAAGAAGCUAUCUCCCCAUCUGAAAGAACUAACUAGGAGGAUUUUCAUCCCGGAAUGCAGAGCCUGUCUGGAAGAAAGACAUAUAGUCAGGACUAACAGAAAGAGACUCAUCCCUGGGAUAAAACCUUCUUAUGCAUCCCUAAUAUCAGUGGUAUUAGCAACAAAUGAGGCAUUCUGAGAAAAUGGAAAUAACGUAAUGGUGCUUUGCUGAUGCCUGCCUUUAACACAGCAGAUAUUAACAAUAUGUAUGCAUGUAAAAUACCAGAUCACUUAAAUGUUUCUCUGUGUGCCUGUAGGGUUCAUCACUGAAAAGAACUUCCUAAUUCUUGGUGCAGAAUUCAAGAAGCUUAAUUUCAUGUAACACGGUAGUUUUUUCUUUACUUCAAGAUGUUAGCAGAGGCCCUGGAUUGGUCUCAGAUUUUGAUCAUAGGUGAACUGCCUCUUACUAUUAAUUAUUUAGCUCU